CCUACGGGUGGCUGCAGUGGGGAAUAUUGGACAAUGGGGGGAACCCUGAUCCAGCCAUGCCGCGUGUGUGAAGAAGGCCCUCGGGUUGUAAAGCACUUUCAGUGAGGAAGAACGCCUGGUGGUUAAUACCCAUCAGGAAAGACAUCACUCACAGAAGAAGCACCGGCUAACUCCGUGCCAGCAGCCGCGGUAAUACGGAGGGUGCGAGCGUUAAUCGGAAUUACUGGGCGUAAAGCGCGCGUAGGUGGCUUGAUAAGCCGGUUGUGAAAGCCCCGGGCUCAACCUGGGAACGGCAUCCGGAACUGUCAAGCUAGAGUGCAGGAGAGGAAGGUAGAAUUCCCGGUGUAGCGGUGAAAUGCGUAGAGAUCGGGAGGAAUACCAGUGGCGAAGGCGGCCUUCUGGACUGACACUGAAACUGAGGUGCGAGAGCGUGGGUAGCAAGCAGGAUUAGAUACCCCUGUAGUC
RNAcentral lists this ribosomal RNA (465 nucleotides) under Vreelandella stevensii. RNAcentral describes it as "partial 16S ribosomal RNA". It matches the Rfam family "Bacterial small subunit ribosomal RNA", at positions 338 to 795 of the family's 1533-position model. Lineage: Bacteria; Pseudomonadati; Pseudomonadota; Gammaproteobacteria; Oceanospirillales; Halomonadaceae. The record is from RNAcentral.